CCGCCUUUAGCUCAGGAGCAGAGCGCUUGCCCGAUAAGCGAGUGGUCGAAGGUGCAACUCCUUCAAGGCGGA
This 72-nucleotide transfer RNA is filed under the name Kofleriaceae bacterium. It matches the Rfam family "tRNA". From Rfam's summary of the family: Transfer RNA (tRNA) molecules are approximately 80 nucleotides in length. Their secondary structure includes four short double-helical elements and three loops (D, anti-codon, and T loops). Further hydrogen bonds mediate the characteristic L-shaped molecular structure. tRNAs have two regions of fundamental functional importance: the anti-codon, which is responsible for specific mRNA codon recognition, and the 3' end, to which the tRNAs corresponding amino acid is attached (by aminoacyl-tRNA synthetases). tRNAs cope with the degeneracy of the genetic code in two manners: having more than one tRNA (with a specific anti-codon) for a particular amino acid; and 'wobble' base-pairing, i.e. permitting non-standard base-pairing at the 3rd anti-codon position. The record is from Rfam by way of RNAcentral. Lineage: Bacteria; Pseudomonadati; Myxococcota; Haliangiales; Kofleriaceae.